GGUAAGUUGUGGAAAGGAGCCGGGGUAAUAGGAAGGGGGCAAGUGUUAGUCGGAAUUACGUGGGUGAAAGCGUGCGUGGGUGGUUGUUUAAGUGUGUCGUGAAAGCCCUGGGCGCAACCUGGGAACUGCGAUGGAAACUGGGCGACUAGAGUGUGGUAGAGGGUAGCGGAAUUCCUGGUGUAGCAGUGAAAUGCGUAGAUAUCAGGAGGAACAUCCAUGGCGAAGGCAGCUACCUGGGCCAACACUGACACUGAGGCACGAAAGCGUGGGGAGCAAACAGGAUUAGAUACCCUUGUAGUC
This 300-nucleotide ribosomal RNA is filed under the name uncultured Meiothermus sp. RNAcentral describes it as "bacterial SSU rRNA". It matches the Rfam family "Bacterial small subunit ribosomal RNA", at positions 496 to 795 of the family's 1533-position model. Lineage: Bacteria; Thermotogati; Deinococcota; Deinococci; Thermales; Thermaceae. The record is from RNAcentral.